UACGGAGGAUCCGAGCGUUAUCCGGAUUUAUUGGGUUUAAAGGGUGCGUAGGCGGAAAUGUAAGUCAGUGGUGAAAUCCUGCAGCUUAACUGUAGAAUAGCCGUUGAAACUGUGUUUCUUGAGUACAUUUGAGGUAGGCGGAAUGUGGUGUGUAGCGGUGAAGUGCAUAGAUAUACCACAGAACACCGAUUGCGAAGGCAGCUUACUAAACUGUCACUGACGCUGAUGCACGAAAGCGUGGGUAUCAAACAGGAUUAGA
Molecule: ribosomal RNA, 259 nt
Filed under: uncultured prokaryote
Description: partial 16S ribosomal RNA
Rfam family: Bacterial small subunit ribosomal RNA
Source: RNAcentral